AAUCAACGCUGGCGGCGUGCCUCAGACAUGCAAGUCGAACGCGAAAGCUCCCUUCGGGGAGCAAGUAGAGUGGCGCACGGGUGAGUAACACGUAGGUAAUCUACCUUCGGAUGGGGAAUAACAACCGGAAACGGUUGCUAAUACCGCAUAAUGCAGCGGCACCUAAUGGUGACAGUUGUUAAAAGCGGGGGAUCGCAAGACCUCGCGUCUGAAGAGGAGCCUGCGGCGGAUUAGCUAGUUGGCAGGGUAACGGCCUACCAAGGCGACGAUCCGUAGCCGGCCUGAGAGGGCGGUCGGCCACACUGACACUGACAUACGGGUCAGACUCCUACGGGAGGCAGCAGUCGGGAAUUUUGGGCAAUGGGCGAAAGCCUGACCCAGCAACGCCGCGUGAAGGAUGAAAUCCCUCGGGAUGUAAACUUCGCAAGAACGGAAGAAUAAGUCUGCGUUAACACCGCAGGCGAUGACGGUACCGUUUGUAAGCUCCGGCUAACUCCGUGCCAGCAGCC
This 509-nucleotide ribosomal RNA is filed under the name uncultured bacterium. RNAcentral's name for it is "bacterial SSU rRNA". It matches the Rfam family "Bacterial small subunit ribosomal RNA", at positions 32 to 516 of the family's 1533-position model. The record is from RNAcentral.